UACAUGGGGUGCAAACGUUGCUCGGAAUUAUUGGGCGUAAAGCGCGCGUAGGCGGUUACUUAAGUCGGAUGUGAAAGCCCUCGGCUUAACUGAGGAAGUGCACCCGAAACUGAGUAGCUAGAGUACGAAAGAGGGUCGCGGAAUUCCCGGUGUAGAGGUGAAAUGCGUAGAUAUGCGGAGGAACACCGAUGGCGAAGGCAAUCCCCUGGACCUGUACUGACGCUCAUGCACGAAAGCGUGGGGAGCAAACAGG
RNAcentral lists this ribosomal RNA (253 nucleotides) under uncultured bacterium. RNAcentral describes it as "partial 16S ribosomal RNA". It matches the Rfam family "Bacterial small subunit ribosomal RNA", at positions 524 to 776 of the family's 1533-position model. The record is from RNAcentral.